CAAUAGCGUAUAUUAAAGUUGUUGCGGUUAAAAAGCUCGUAGUUGGAGUUCUGCCAGGUGACGCUCGUCCGCCCAAGUGGUGUGUACAGGGCGUGCAUCUGGCCCUUUCAAGGGGAACGUGUCUGCACUUUACUGUGUGGUGCGAGAUCCUUGACUUUUACUUUGAGGAAAUCAGAGUGUUCCAAGCAGGCUCUCGUCGUGUAUAGCUCAGCAUGGAAUAAUAGCAUUGGACUUCGUUUCUAAGCUGUUGGUUGCAAGAAGCGAGGUAAUGAUGAAGAGGGAUAGUUGGGGGCAUUCGUAUUUAACUGUCAGAGGUGAAAUUCUUGGAUUUGUUAAAGGCGGACUACUGCGAAAGCAUCUGCCAUGGAUGUUUUCAUUGA
RNAcentral lists this ribosomal RNA (380 nucleotides) under uncultured eukaryote. RNAcentral describes it as "partial 18S ribosomal RNA". It matches the Rfam family "Eukaryotic small subunit ribosomal RNA", at positions 592 to 976 of the family's 1831-position model. The record is from RNAcentral.